CAAAAUGCUGCACAGGCCCAAAUAAAGACAACUAUAGACACAUAGCAGAGGUUUCCUGCUUCAAGUAGCUAUUAUAUUAACCUACACUUUAGGCAAAGAGCAUUUUAGGUUUCACACUGAUGAAAACAUAGGAUGAGCAGAAGCAUCAAUAAAAGUUGCACCUUUAAUGAAACAGAUGAAACAGGCCAGCAAAGUCCACAGGUAUGGGAUCAUCCUGCUGGAACAAAAUGCAUGUACUGGAACUCCAGUGCCAUUUUUUGGAAGACUGUGGAUACACUGAAGGCAUUUCCCAGCAUGAUCUGAAAGGGAAAAUGGUGAAGAAGCCAGAAAAAGAGGGAGGCAAAACCACCACCAAUGCACCAAGUGUUAUUGCAGGAAUAGCAGCAUGGCCAAGGUACCUCCAUCCCUUCUCUCUGAUGGCAAUCACAUCACAGGAUCUGCAAGGAGUGGAUCCAUGAGAGCUGUCGUUUGAAUUCCUGUGACACUGCAUGCGCGGAGACCUGGUUCAAUUACCUGACAGAAGCACACAGACUUCUUGUUUGUGACAAACUGGGGAAAGCACUGCUUGGGGACACUGAUUAACACCUUCUAACAGAGUUCUGAUUACUUUAAUCCAGUGACUUAGCUUACCAGUAAAUUAUCUCUUUUCAAGAUAGCG
Long non-coding RNA from Passer domesticus (house sparrow), 658 nucleotides. RefSeq lists it as uncharacterized. The transcript has 3 exons. NCBI's taxonomy places the organism in Eukaryota, Metazoa, Chordata, Aves, Passeriformes, Passeridae. The record is from RefSeq and is a predicted model, not a curated record.